This 431-nucleotide ribosomal RNA is filed under the name uncultured Spirochaeta sp. RNAcentral describes it as "bacterial SSU rRNA". It matches the Rfam family "Bacterial small subunit ribosomal RNA", at positions 355 to 776 of the family's 1533-position model. The record is from RNAcentral. Lineage: Bacteria; Pseudomonadati; Spirochaetota; Spirochaetia; Spirochaetales; Spirochaetaceae.
CUAAGAAUCUUCCGCAAUGGGGGAAACCCUGACGGAGCGACGCCGCGUGGGCGAUGAAGGCCGGAAGGUUGUAAAGCCCUUUUCUUGGCGAAGAAUAAGGCUGGGGAUGGACUACCCAGCUGAUGACGUUAGCCGAGGAAUAAGCCCCGGCCAAUUACGUGCCAGCAGCCGCGGUAACACGUAUGGGGCGAGCGUUGUUCGGAGUUAUUGGGCGUAAAGGGCGUGUAGGCGGCUCUCGCAAGCUUGGUGUUAAAGGUUUCGGCUUAACCGGAACAGUGCGCUGAGAACUGCGGAGCUGGAGUCUAGGAGGGGGAGCUGGAAUUCCAGGUGUAGGGGUGAAAUCUGUAGAUAUCUGGAAGAACACCGGUGGCGAAGGCGAGCUCCUGGCCAUAGACUGACGCUGAGGCGCGAAAGCGUGGGGAGCAAACAGG